AAGAAAUUGACUCCAAGUAUUAUCUUUAAGUUCUAAAGAAUAAGCUUUCAAUUCUUCUGAUGCACAGUUAAUUAGCCAUGAUGAUUCUGAGAAAAAUGAAAAGGAAAAAUGUCAACUUCUGAAGAUUAUAACACUCCAUUUUUUGCUUCAGGAAACAGUUUGGAUUAGCCCAGAAGUAAAUGCUAAAAUAAUAAUAAUAUAUUUUGCUUAGCAAUAGGAAUAAAAUAAAAAGGAUAAUGCGGGGGGCGGGGGGGAAUUUCUUUAUAAGGCAUGAGUCACCUGAACUCUUUCUCCAAGCUUCCGGACUUCAGAACCUAAGCAUCAUCUUCUGCUGCCUACUUCUAGAAGACACUAAGACAUUAAAAUGAAGGUUCUCAUUUUGAUUGCUGUCAUCUUGACUUUCACUGCUUGUUUUUCGUCAGCUGAUGCACAUAAGCAAAAAAACUCCAGGUCUAGUGAAAGCUCCGAAGAAUAUUUUAAACUACCUAAACAGUUAAGGUCUAAGCUGUCAAGAAGAUAUUCUGCAAAAUUCCAACGAGCUCCUGGAAGUCCAUGUGGUCACUCUGUUCGUCAUGAACCCCCCAGAGGCCACCAUCUCCUCCACCUCCCUCACCAUCCUCACAUCCCACAUGAACCGUCACCCAGACCUACAUUGCCACCUGAGAACACUGUCUAUCCUAGUUCUCAAGCACCAUCAGCCCCUUUUAGGGCUCCUCCAACCAUAAUUUACACCACUGCCACUGUGCUGCCACCACCACUGCUUUCACUGUCUCUGCCCAAAACACUGAGAGUGUUGCAUCCAGCACUAACAGCUUCCAGUGCCCUCCAACCUGAGGACAUCACCAAUGCCCUUGAAGCUGACACUACUACCCCUGCCCCAGUAGCUGACACUACUACCCCUGCCCCAGUAGCUGACACUACUGCUGUCUAUCAGCAACAAGAGCCUCAGUGA
RNAcentral lists this long non-coding RNA (952 nucleotides) under Canis lupus familiaris (dog). Its description in RNAcentral is "lncRNA (ENSCAFG00040004910.1)". The record is from RNAcentral. Lineage: Eukaryota; Metazoa; Chordata; Mammalia; Carnivora; Canidae.